Long non-coding RNA from Drosophila miranda, 886 nucleotides. RefSeq lists it as uncharacterized. The record is from RefSeq and is a predicted model, not a curated record. The transcript is spliced from 3 exons. NCBI's taxonomy places the organism in Eukaryota, Metazoa, Arthropoda, Insecta, Diptera, Drosophilidae.
UCAAAUGCUAGGCAUGUGAAAGAAGCAAGGACAAUGGUGAAGCUCCCACAGUGCUGGCAUUUAGGUGAUUAGGUAUAUGUGUCUAUGACCGAGAAGCGCUGCGCAUCGGCCUGGUAAAUCCAAUCGUUUCCACGGAUGUCCUGUCGCCUGUCCGUAAAUUUAAGCAUCCUCGAUUCCCAAAUUGUCCAUGGGAUUCCUGAAGGAUGAUUGAAACGCGGAAUAUCGCUACUAGUUCUCCGAAAAAUACGAAAUGUGUAUAUCACAGUCGUAUUUUGAAAAAGUGUACACUCUAAAGUUUUUUAUACUAUACUUUUGUAUUGAUAUUUUUUGAAAUGGUGGAAGCUAAAAAGUGCUCAAAGAAAAAAACUUACAAGACAAAAAAGGUCGCCCGCCUCACCAAUAAUGGCUAUUUAAACUUUUUACGAGAUUUCAAGAAAAAAAAUAGCGGACUCCUGCCGCGAGAGAUGGUCAUGCGUGGUACUAAGGCUUGGUGUCGACUAAACAAACAGCAGAAGGAGAGAUACCGCAAAAUGAAAAGGACUAGCCGACGUGGCUAGCCAAUAAAAGGCCAAAACCAGCAAAGGGGCAACAAAGUACCAGCCGCUGAUCUUGGGCAGGUCUGUCCAUAAUGUCGUAUAUGUCUAUAUUGAGUUAUAUUUCUUAGGUAGGUCGCAUUUUUCAUACGAUAUCAGUCCUAGUGUUUCUAAAUAACCAUUGCGUCGUUGCCGAACCCAGAGGAAAACCAAACCGCCACUGCUUAGUCUUAGCCUCUUGCUAAAAUAUGCCAUUAGUGUCGUAAAUUUCCAGUGUAAUUAAAAUUAAAUAAUGUCUAGUAUUUUAUCUUGAAUUAUACUUCCUUUUAUAAAGGAUAUACUGCGAAGGAGUA